GAUGAAGAACGCAGCGAAAUGCGAUAAGUAGUGUGAAUUGCAGAAUUCAGUGAAUCAUCGAAUCUUUGAACGCACAUUGCGCCCCUUGGUAUCCCGAGGGGCAUGCCUGUUCGAGCGUCAUUUCACCACUCAAGCCUGGCUUGGUGUUGGGCGACGUCCCCUUUGGGGACGCGCCUCGAAACGCUCGGCGGCGUGGCACCGGCUUUAAGCGUAGCAAAAUCUUUCGCUUUGGAAGUCGGGGCCCCGUCUGCCGGAAGACCUACUCGCAAGGUUGACCUCGGAUCAGGCAGGGAUACCCGCUGAACUUAAGCAUAUCAAUAAGCGGAGGA
RNAcentral lists this unclassified non-coding RNA (329 nucleotides) under soil metagenome. Its description in RNAcentral is "partial contains 5.8S ribosomal RNA, internal transcribed spacer 2, and large subunit ribosomal RNA". The stretch from base 1 to 120 matches the Rfam family "5.8S ribosomal RNA", at positions 35 to 154 of the family's 154-position model. The record is from RNAcentral.